AGUCGAAACCCCCGCAAGGGGGUCGCCGCGACAUGAGCAAACGCGGCCUGAUGAGACAGCUCAAA
RNAcentral lists this non-coding RNA (65 nucleotides) under bacterium. The record is from RNAcentral.